GGAGUUACGCAGGCAGGGUUGUGGUUGCUGGCUGUUACCAGGACAACCGGAGGCGAUUGACCGUUAUCUGCGGUUUGGAGCCGUUAGCGGGAGAGGCAGAGAUAUUCAGAGGUCUUUUAGGAUGCGCUAAAGGGUCGUGAGGGCUCUCUUAAAAUUUUCUUCACAAGCGGUUAUCCAGUCGUGCCCCGCGGCCCUGCUGCUGGCCCCGGGGAUCUGAGUCGUACCCUCUUGUUUUUCUCUGAGUCAGUCUUAAGGUGAAAUGAAGUGUGGCCCAGUGGCUCCUCACUGUCGCUUCUCUAGUUUUCUGCCUCCUUUUAGAAAAUUGAAUUGAAAAGACAGGAUGAAGUGGACACAGCAUGUGAAGACAAUUCUUUCAAGAAGUUUGGCUGUCAAGGAAAACAGAGAAUGUGAGUAGCCAAAGCAGAAUGACAGUGAAAGAAAGAAAUUGGGAGCCAGACAAUACAGCCCGACAGUUUACGCCUGUACGGAUGUACCUCUUUCACAAAAGAUUGAGUAUGCUUGGGGAAAAAAAAUACACACUAUAAUAGGAGAAAAUGAUGAAGAGAAACUGAGGUAAAGGUAAUUGGAAAACAAAAUAAAGCCAGGGGUAUAUUAAUACCCCAAAACUUCAUACCAAAAGGUCCGUGUAUUUACUAGAGGGGUGCCACAAAUUGGGCUCUGAGGUUCCUAGCAAUUAAACCAAAGGGAAAAUAUAAGUUUAACAUGAUCCGUAUGAGGGAGGAGGCCUAAUGGCAUAUUAUAGAAUCCUGUUACACAUUAGCUGUAUGAAAUUGAUUGGGUAAUGUAAGCUCUUUAGACCUCAUUUCUCCGUCUCUUAAAGAGUGGGGAGAGGAAGCAGGAGACUGUUAGACGAGUUGAUCUUUUAAUAUCUCUUCCACUACUGACAGUCUAUGAUCAUAUAGGCCAGAGACGGCAAACUCAGAUGCCUAAAUUAGGGACUAAGAAAGUUUCAUAAGUGAGGAAAUGGACUGAAUGUGACAAAAGCAAGGAGUGAUAGAGAUUGGAAUGUUAGAGUUGAUUGAGCUGUCCCAUCUAAAACUCCAGCCAAUUCUUGCAAAAAUAAGGACUCAGUGUUGCCUGAUUUUUCAGGAGAAACAGGAAAAUCAUAUUUUUGAUAAUAUUAUACAAAACAAAACACCUCUACUAGCUAGAUACAAUUUGUGGGUCACUAAUUUUCAACCUCUGCUAUAGGUGAAAGGACCUCAACAAGAGGGAUAAUUGCUUGAAUUAAAGAAUUAAAUAUGAAAAAGAGGAAGAAGUCAAAAAGAAUACCAAGAUUUCCCCUUGGUAAUAAGAAGGAGUUAGUAACAUUGAUACUAAAAUCAGCAGAAGGUUUGGGGAGAGAAGGUGCUUUAUUGUGAGUUUCUUGAACAUGGGGCAAACUUAUUUAUGUGUAUCCAUAGCACAUGAAUCCAAUUCAGCUGCUGGAUUUGAGAAAUCUGUGGGAUUUAUCAGGGGAAAGGGCGCAGGAAUGUAGGUCAGGAGUUUGGGGAAAGAAGAUGAAAAAGGAGUUUAAGAUGUAAGAUUCAUUCUUUCAAUAAAGUUUUAUUGAUUAUAUAUCACAAUAUGUAUUUUCACGAGACUCUAAACUGUCUGAGGGCAGAAAGCACGGGGUUUUUUUUAACCACUUACCCAGCUCCUAGCACAAUACAUAGUCAGUGCUUAUGUAUGUUGAAAAAACAAAUGAAAAAAUACAAAACACUGUGCUUUACAGUAUAGGAGAUGCAGAGUUGAAUUAGAAAAUCUUAAGGGAACAAGAAACACUGGGGUCUGCUUGAGGGUGGAGGGUGGGAGCAUGCAGAGGAGCAGAAAAAAUAACUAUUGGGUACUAGGCUUAAUACGUGGGUGAUGAAAUAAUCUUUACAACAAACCUUCAUGUGUACCCCCAAACCUAAAAUAAAAGUUUAAAAAGAAGAAAAUCUUCUUAAAGAAGUUUAUAGAGCAG
Long non-coding RNA from Homo sapiens (human), 1966 nucleotides. Ensembl annotates it as GIHCG inhibitor of miR-200b/200a/429 expression. Its record names the gene GIHCG. The record is from Ensembl. NCBI's taxonomy places the organism in Eukaryota, Metazoa, Chordata, Mammalia, Primates, Hominidae.